CCUACGGGAGGCAGCAGUGGGGGAUAUUGCACAAUGGGGGAAACCCUGAUGCAGCGACGCCGCGUGAGUGAAGAAGGAUUUCGGUAUGUAAAGCUCUAUCAGCGGGGAAGAAAAUGACAGUACCUGACCAAGAAGCCCCGGCUAACUACGUGCCAGCAGCCGCGGUAAUACGUAGGGGGCAAGCGUUAUCCGGAUUUACUGGGGGUAAAGGGAGCGUAGGCGGUUAUGUAAGGCUGGGGUGAAAGGCCCUGGCCUAACCCCGGGACUGCUUUGGAAACUGGGUAACUGGAGUCCAGGAGGGGAAGGCGGAAUUCCUGGUGUAGCGGUGAAAUGCGUAGAUAUCAGGAGGAACACCGGCGGCGAAGGCGGCCUGCUGGACUGAAACUGACGUUGAGGCUCGAAAGUGUGGGGAGCAAACAGGAUUAGAUACCCUUGUAGUC
Molecule: ribosomal RNA, 440 nt
Filed under: uncultured bacterium
Lineage: Bacteria
Description: partial 16S ribosomal RNA
Rfam family: Bacterial small subunit ribosomal RNA
Source: RNAcentral